This 250-nucleotide ribosomal RNA is filed under the name uncultured bacterium. RNAcentral's name for it is "partial 16S ribosomal RNA". It matches the Rfam family "Bacterial small subunit ribosomal RNA", at positions 524 to 776 of the family's 1533-position model. The record is from RNAcentral.
UACGUAGGGGGCGAGCGUUGUCCGGAGUACUGGGCGUAAAGCGCACGCAGGCGGUCUGCUAAGUUUGGAGUGACAGUUGGUGGCUUAACUGCCAAAGUGCUUCGAAAACUGACAGACUUGAGGGCUUCAGAGGGACACGGAAUUCCGGGUGGAGUGGUGAAAUGCGUAGAUAUUCGGAAGAACACCAGUGGCGAAGGCGACUUACUGGACACAUAUUGACGCUGAGGAACGAAAGCGCGGGAGCAACAGG